Molecule: ribosomal RNA, 497 nt
Filed under: uncultured bacterium
Lineage: Bacteria
Description: partial 16S ribosomal RNA
Rfam family: Bacterial small subunit ribosomal RNA
Source: RNAcentral
GACGAACGCUGGCGGCGUGCCUAAUACAUGCAAGUUGAGCGCUGAAGGUUGGUACUUGUACCAACUGGAUGAGCAGCGAACGGGUGAGUAACGCGUGGGGAAUCUGCCUUUGAGCGGGGGACAACAUUUGGAAACGAAUGCUAAUACCGCAUAAAAACUUUAAACACAAGUUUUAAGUUUGAAAGAUGCAAUUGCAUCACUCAAAGAUGAUCCCGCGUUGUAUUAGCUAGUUGGUGAGGUAAAGGCUCACCAAGGCGAUGAUACAUAGCCGACCUGAGAGGGUGAUCGGCCACAUUGGGACUGAGACACGGCCCAAACUCCCACGGGAGGCAGCAGUAGGGAAUCUUCGGCAAUGGACGAAAGUCUGAGCGAGCAACGCCGCGUGAGUGAAGAAGGUUGUCGGAUCGUAAAACUCUGUUGGUAGAGAAGAACGUUGGUGAGAGUGGAAAGCUCAUCAAGUGACGGUAACUACACAGAAAGGGACGGCUAACUACGUG